Molecule: ribosomal RNA, 450 nt
Filed under: uncultured bacterium
Lineage: Bacteria
Description: partial 16S ribosomal RNA
Rfam family: Bacterial small subunit ribosomal RNA
Source: RNAcentral
GUGGGGAAUAUUGGACAAUGGGCGAAAGCCUGAUCCAGCCAUGCCGCGUGUGUGAAGAAGGUCUUCGGAUUGUAAAGCACUUUAAGUUGGGAGGAAGGGCAGUAAGUUAAUACCUUGCUGUUUUGACGUUACCGACAGAAUAAGCACCGGCUAACUUCGUGCCAGCAGCCGCGGUAAUACGAAGGGUGCAAGCGUUAAUCGGAAUUACUGGGCGUAAAGCGCGCGUAGGUGGUUUUGUAAGUUGGAGGUGAAAUCCCCGGGCUCAACCCGGGAACUGCCUUCAAAACUGCAUGACUAGAGUACGGUAGAGGGGAGUGGAAUUGCCUGUGUAGCGGUGAAAUGCGUAGAUAUAGGAAGGAACACCAGUGGCGAAGGCGACUACCUGGACUGAUACUGACACUGAGGUGCGAAAGCGUGGGGAGCAAACAGGAUUAGAAACCCGGGUAGUCC